Molecule: ribosomal RNA, 515 nt
Filed under: uncultured bacterium
Lineage: Bacteria
Description: partial 16S ribosomal RNA
Rfam family: Bacterial small subunit ribosomal RNA
Source: RNAcentral
GAUGAACGCUGGCGGCGUGCCUAAUACAUGCAAGUCGAGCGAAUGGAUUAAGAGCUUGCUCUUAUGAAGUUAGCGGCGGACGGGUGAGUAACACGUGGGUAACCUGCCCAUAAGACUGGGAUAACUCCGGGACACCGGGGCUAAUACCGGAUACCAUUUUGAACCGCAUGGUUCGAAAUUGAAAGGCGGCUUCGGCUGUCACUUAUGCAUGGACCCGCGUCGCAUUAGCUAGUUGGUGAGGUAACGGCUCACCAAGGCAACGAUGCGUAGCCGACCUGAGAGGGUGAUCGGCCACACUGGGACUGAGACACGGCCCAGACUCCUACGGGAGGCAGCAGUAGGGAAUCUUCCGCAAUGGACGAAAGUCUGACGGAGCAACGCCGCGUGAGUGAUGAAGGCUUUCGGGUCGUAAAACUCUGUUGUUAGGGAAGAACAAGUGCUAGUUGAAUAAGCUGGCACCUUGACGGUACCUAACCAGAAAGCCACGGCUAACUACGUGCCAGCCGCCGCGGUAA